RNAcentral lists this ribosomal RNA (244 nucleotides) under uncultured bacterium. RNAcentral's name for it is "partial small subunit ribosomal RNA". It matches the Rfam family "Bacterial small subunit ribosomal RNA", at positions 26 to 285 of the family's 1533-position model. The record is from RNAcentral.
AGAAUCAACGCUGGCGGCGUGCCUAACACAUGCAAGUCGAACGAGAAAGUGGAGCAAUCCAUGAGUAAAGUGGCGCACGGGUGAGUAACACGUGACUAACCUACCCUUGAGUGGGGGAUAACCUAGGGAAACCUGGGCUAAUACCGCAUAACACUUACGAGUCAAAGCAGCAAUGCGCUGAAAGGGGGGUCGCGGCCGAUUAGCUAGUUGGCGGGGUAAUGGCCCACCAAGGCAGUGAUCGGUA